RNAcentral lists this ribosomal RNA (497 nucleotides) under uncultured bacterium. RNAcentral describes it as "partial 16S ribosomal RNA". It matches the Rfam family "Bacterial small subunit ribosomal RNA", at positions 28 to 507 of the family's 1533-position model. The record is from RNAcentral.
GAUGAACGCUGGCGGCGUGCUUAAUACAUGCAAGUCGAGCGAAAAGACGAGGAGCUUGCUCCUCUGACGUUAGCGGAGGACGGGUGUGUAACACGUGGAUCACCUACCUAUAAGACUGGGAUAACUUCGGGAAACCGGAGCUAAUACCGGAUAAUAUAUUGAACCGAAUGGUUCAAUAGUGAAAGACGGUUUUGCUGUCUCUUAUAGAUGGUUCCGCGCUGCAUUAGCUAGUUGGUAAGGUACCGGCUUACCAAGGGGACGAUGCGUAGCCGACCUGCGAGGGUGAUCGGCCACACGGGAGCUGAGACACGGUCCAGACUCCUACGAGAGGCAGCAGUAGGGAAUCUUCCGCAAUGGGCGAAAGCCUGACGGAGCAACGCCGCGUGAGUUAUGAAGAUCUUCGGAUCGUAAAACUCUGUUAUUAGUUAAGAACAAAUUUGUAAGUAACUAUGCACGUCUUGACGGUACCUAGUCAGAAAGCCACGGCUAACUACGUG